RNAcentral lists this ribosomal RNA (273 nucleotides) under uncultured bacterium. RNAcentral's name for it is "partial 16S ribosomal RNA". It matches the Rfam family "Bacterial small subunit ribosomal RNA", at positions 524 to 796 of the family's 1533-position model. The record is from RNAcentral.
UACGUACUGUGCGAACGUUAUUCGGAAUCACUGGGCUUAAAGGGUGCGUAGGCGGCCGACUAAGUAGGGUGUGAAAUGCCAGAGCUCAACUUUGGCAUUGCGCUCUAGACUGGUUGGCUUGAGUGAGAUAGGGGUGUGCGGAACUUCCAGUGGAGCGGUGAAAUGUGUUGAUAUUGGAAGGAACGCCGGUGGCGAAAGCGGCACACUGGGUCUUAACUGACGCUGAGGCACGAAAGCCAGGGGAGCGAACGGGAUUAGAAACCCCAGUAGUCC